GCCCCCGUAGCUCAGUUUGGAUAGAGCAGCAGUUUCCUAAACUGUUGGCCGCCCGUUCAAGUCGGGCCGGGGGUA
RNAcentral lists this transfer RNA (75 nucleotides) under candidate division Zixibacteria bacterium RBG_16_43_9. RNAcentral describes it as "tRNA-Arg". It matches the Rfam family "tRNA". From Rfam's summary of the family: Transfer RNA (tRNA) molecules are approximately 80 nucleotides in length. Their secondary structure includes four short double-helical elements and three loops (D, anti-codon, and T loops). The record is from RNAcentral. RNAcentral also lists the same sequence under 3 other names. Lineage: Bacteria; Pseudomonadati; Candidatus Zixiibacteriota.